CUAAAUUAAUUUUGGGUUUUCCUUACCUACCUUUUGAACCCCACUAGAUUCCGCAUGGCUGCAUUCACAAGCACACGAACUUGGCCAUUCAAACGCAAUGAUCUUGGUACGGUAUUGAAAGAGGGCACAUUUGAACUACAAAAACUUACAUGGACCCCUUCUACCCCUGGGCAUAUUGCCCUACAGUUCCUAACUACCAAAGA
This 203-nucleotide long non-coding RNA is filed under the name Elaeis guineensis (African oil palm). RNAcentral describes it as "long non-coding RNA (EGUI_LNC030254)". Lineage: Eukaryota; Viridiplantae; Streptophyta; Magnoliopsida; Arecales; Arecaceae. The record is from RNAcentral.